GACGAACGCUGGCGGCGUGCCUAACACAUGCAAGUCGAACGAACCGCGACUGAGUGCUUGCACUUGGUCAAGGUGAGUGGCGAACGGGUGAGUAACACGUGGGUAACCUACCUCAUAGUGGGGGAUAACAGUCGGAAACGACUGCUAAUACCGCAUAGGACAUAGGAUCACAUGAUCCAGUGAGGAAAGGUGGCGCAAGCUGUCGCUAAGAGAUGGACCCGCGGUGCAUUAGCUAGUUGGUAGGGUAAAGGCCUACCAAGGCGAUGAUGCAUAGCCGACCUGAGAGGGUGAUCGGCCACAUUGGGACUGAGACACGGCCCAAACUCCUACGGGAGGCAGCAGUAGGGAAUCUUCCGCAAUGGACGCAAGUCUGACGGAGCAACGCCGCGUGAGUGAAGAAGGUCUUCGGAUCGUAAAGCUCUGUUGUUAGAGAAGAACAGCGCAUAGAGUAACUGCUAUGCGUGUGACGGUAUCUAACCAGAAAGCCACGGCUAACUACGUG
RNAcentral lists this ribosomal RNA (502 nucleotides) under uncultured bacterium. RNAcentral's name for it is "partial 16S ribosomal RNA". It matches the Rfam family "Bacterial small subunit ribosomal RNA", at positions 28 to 507 of the family's 1533-position model. The record is from RNAcentral.